CCUACGGGGGGCAGCAGUGAGGAAUAUUGGUCAAUGGCCGGAAGGCUGAACCAGCCAAGCCGCGUGAAGGACGAAGGUGCCAAGCAUUGUAAACUUCUUUUGUCAAGGGACAAAAUCAGGCUCGAGAGCCUGACCGCGGGUACUUGAAGAAAAAGCAUCGGCUAACUCCGUGCCAGCAGCCGCGGUAAUACGGAGGAUGCGAGCGUUAUCCGGAUUUAUUGGGUUUAAAGGGUGCGUAGGCGGAUGGUUAAGUCAGCGGUAAAAGACUGGGGCUAAACGCCGGCGUGCCGUUGAAACUGGCUGUCUUGAGAUGUCGUGAGGUAUGCGGAAUGCGCAGUGUAGCGGUGAAAUGCUUAGAUAUUGCGCAGAACUCCGAUUGCGAAGGCAGCAUACCGGCGGCGAACUGACGCUGAGGCACGAAAGCGUGGGUAUCGAACAGGAUUAGAUACCCGAGUAGUC
RNAcentral lists this ribosomal RNA (459 nucleotides) under uncultured bacterium. Its description in RNAcentral is "partial 16S ribosomal RNA". It matches the Rfam family "Bacterial small subunit ribosomal RNA", at positions 338 to 795 of the family's 1533-position model. The record is from RNAcentral.